RNAcentral lists this ribosomal RNA (468 nucleotides) under uncultured bacterium. Its description in RNAcentral is "partial 16S ribosomal RNA". It matches the Rfam family "Bacterial small subunit ribosomal RNA", at positions 28 to 507 of the family's 1533-position model. The record is from RNAcentral.
GACGAACGCUGGCGGCGUGCUUAACACAUGCAAGUCGAACGGAAAGGCCCUGCUUUUGUGGGGUGCUCGAGUGGCGAACGGGUGAGUAACACGUGAGUAACCUGCCCUUGACUUUGGGAUAACUUCAGGAAACUGGGGCUAAUACCGGCUAGGAGCUCCUGCUGCAUGGUGGGGGUUGGAAAGUUUCGGCGGUUGGGGAUGGACUCGCGGCUUAUCAGCUUGUUGGUGGGGGAGUGGCUUACCAAGGCUUUGACGGGUAGCCGGCCUGAGAGGGUGACCGGCCACAUUGGGACUGAGGUACGGCCCAGACUCCUACGGGGGGCAGCAGUGGGAAAUAUUGCACAAUGGGCGGAAGCCUGAUGCAGCAACGCCGCGUGCGGGAUGACGGCCUUCGGGUUGUAAACCGCUUUCGCCUGUGACGAAGCGUGAGUGACGGUAAUGGGUAAAGAAGCACCGGCUAACUACGUG